RNAcentral lists this long non-coding RNA (434 nucleotides) under Nicotiana tabacum (common tobacco). Its description in RNAcentral is "long non-coding RNA (NTAB_LNC015818)". The record is from RNAcentral. Lineage: Eukaryota; Viridiplantae; Streptophyta; Magnoliopsida; Solanales; Solanaceae.
GUGGCUGUCAUAAUUUUUGGUAUAGUAGUUGUGACUUAUUCACACUAUAUACAUUUGGCUUCCGCAACAAUUGGUAUCAGAGCCAAGGUACUGUCUAAGUAUGCUCUGUGGUUGCAACAUAGUCUGAUCUUCCACAUCAGAAAAGAUUUAUCUUGGUAACUGAGUCAAGGUUCUGUCUGAGGUCUGAGUAUGCUCUGUGGUUGCAGCUUAGUCUGAUCUUCCACACCAGAAAGGAAAUAAUCUUGAUUUGUGUCGUCAACUAUUAAAUAAUAUUUGUGUCAAAGAUGGGAGACAAUAAACAAGAAGAAUCUACAUCAAGUGUCAACAAUACGUCAUCAUUGGCAUCUUCGCUUAUGACAAGAAUUGUGUCAAAUGCGAAAUUUGCGGUCGAAAUAUUUGACGGGUCCGGACAUUUUGGGAUGUGGCAAGGNNNN